Molecule: ribosomal RNA, 1300 nt
Filed under: uncultured bacterium
Lineage: Bacteria
Description: bacterial SSU rRNA
Rfam family: Bacterial small subunit ribosomal RNA
Source: RNAcentral
AACUGAUCGAUGGUGCUUGCACCUGAUUGACGUUGGAUCACCAGUGAGUGGCGGACGGGUGAGUAACACGUAGGUAACCUGCCCCGGAGCGGGGGAUAACAUUUGGAAACAGAUGCUAAUACCGCAUAACAACAAAAGCCACAUGACUUUUGUUUGAAAGAUGGCUUUAGCUAUCACUCUGGGAUGGACCUGCGGUGCAUUAACUAGUUGGUAAGGUAACGGCUUACCAAGGCGAUGAUGCAUAGCCGAGUUGAGAGACUGAUCGGCCACAAUGGAACUGAGACACGGUCCAUACUCCUACGGGAGGCAGCAGUAGGGAAUCUUCCACGAUGGGCGCAAGCCUGAUGGAGCAACGCCGCGUGAGUGAAGAAGGGUUUCUGCUCGUGAAGCUCUGUUGUUGGAGAAGAACGUGCGUGAGAGUAACUGUUCACGCAGUGACGGUAUCCAACCAGAAAGACACGGCUUACUACGUGCCAGCAGCCGCGGAAAAACGUAGGUGGCAAGCGUUAUCCGGAUUUAUUGGGCGUAAAGCGAGCGCAGGCGGUUGCAUAGGUCUGAUGUGAAAGCCUUCGGCUUAACCGAAAGAAAUGCAUCUCAAACCGGGCGACUUGAGUGCAUAACAGGACAGUGCAACUCCAUGUGUAGCGGUGGAAUGCGUAUAUAUAUGGAAGAACACCAGUGCCGAAGGGGGCUGUCCGGUCUGCACCUGACGCUGAGGCUCGAAAGCAGGGGAGCGAACAGGAUUAGAUACCCUGGUAGUCCAUGCCGUAAACGAUGAGUGCUAGGUGUUGGAGGGUUUUCGCCCCUCAGGCCGGGAGAUAACGCAUUAAGCACUCCGCCUGGGGAGCACGACCGCAAGGUUGAAACUCAAAGGAAUUGACGGGGGCCCGCACAAGCGGCGGAGCAUGUGGUUUAAUUCGAAGGUACGCGAAGAACCUUACCAGGUCUUGACAUCUUGCGCUAACCUUAGAGAUAAGGCGUUCCCUUCGGGGACGCAAUGACAGGUGGUACAUGGUCGUCGUCAGCUCGUGUCGUGAGAUGUUGGGUUAAGUCCCGCAACGAGCGCAACCCUUGUUACUAGUUGCCAGCAUUAAGUUGGGCACUCUAGUGAGACUGCCGGUGACAAACCGGAGGAAGGUGGGGACGACGUCAGAUCAUCAUGCCCCUUAUGACCUGGGCUACACACGUGCUACAAAGGACGGUACAACGAGUUGCAAACUCGCGAGAGCAAGCUAAUCUCUUAAAGCCGUUCUCAGUUCGGACAGUAGGCUGCAACUCGCCUACACGAAGUCGGAAUCGC